This is a long non-coding RNA of Bacillus rossius redtenbacheri, 1342 nucleotides long. RefSeq lists it as uncharacterized. The record is from RefSeq and is a predicted model, not a curated record. The transcript is spliced from 4 exons. NCBI's taxonomy places the organism in Eukaryota, Metazoa, Arthropoda, Insecta, Phasmatodea, Bacillidae.
ACAUAGUAAUUGAAAACAGCAAACUUCAAUUAUCUAAGGAUCAAUGUAUACAGGAUCCUGCCAUCAGGAUCAAAGGAAAAACUUGGAUAUGUGAUACAGAACUUAAACCUCAUACUAUCCAUUCUUUCUAAUGUAUAGCAUUGUUAACAUAGCUAACCAACUGUUCACUUGUAUUCAUGAUUUGUUGACAUGGCCAAUGUAACCAACUGAUCUCACCAUUUACACUAAUAUUUGUGUAGGUACAUAAGGUGUAAUAGUAUGUUCUAAAAGUAUGAUUUUAAGAAAAUGUAAAUGUGAGGAAAUAUUUAAAAAAAAAAAAAGUGGAAUUGUAUGUUUUUUUACUGAAAACAGACUGUUCUUCAGAAUAACAUCAAAUUGUUGGUGGACAGGUGUGACAUUCGCUCCAAUCUUUGCUCAGGGAAGCAUAAUGUGCCUUACCAAAAUUAUUACAGUAGUGGGAGUGGCACUUUCUGGUAUAUGUUUAGACUUUAUACACAUAUAUAAAUAGCUGUCACAAUUUUAUGUACUACUAGUAACUAGAAAAACAUGGUUAGUUUGAAACAAUUUGUGUUUAUGAUAUUCUUGAAAUGUUCUCUAGCUUAUUCGAAGAUGGGCGUGUGCAGGGACUGCUGCUGGGAGACAGUGGUUACCCACAGUUGCCAUACCUGUUCAUGCCCAUACCAGAGCAGCCAGUCCGUACAGAUGCAGAGCAGAGGUACUCAUGGCUCAUGCUCGGACGAGGAAUCUGGUGGAAAGGAUGUUCAGUGUUUGGAAGCAGCGCUUUCCCUGCUUGCAGCUUGUUUUAUGAAACAAGCUGCAGACAACAGCAGCUAUCAUUGUUGCCUGUGCCAUUUGUCACAACAUUGGUAUCAGGCACAAUGAUUAUGUGGAAGAAGCUGAGCUGCAGGCCAACAAUGAUGUGCCAAUCCCACCAGUUCCUCUCCGACCUGGGCGCGCCUGGCCAUCAGGAACGAGUUCAUCAUCCGGCAUUUCAAUCCUGUUGCUGCCGCCUGUCGUGGCUCCACUCAAGUGCUCGGUGCUGCCCCUCAGCGGCAACGUGGAGUUCCAGCCCUUCGUGUGCAGAGCAGUUAGUGGGCUGGCAGGGAUUCUGUUGUCUCUACAUCCUCGACAGGCAUGACCAGGAACAUUCAAACAUUCAGGAAUUACAGUUUUCCUUUACAUCAUAUUGAAGAUAAUUUAUUAUUUAAUGAUUUUGCAUGUUAUUUAGACACACAUUUCAGGGAAAUUGUGGGCAAACUUUGCCUAGGCUUGUAGUAAGCAGUCAUGUAGUUUACCACUGAACUACCCUUGUUUGUUUCAAUAAAAUAACAAUAUUCUUCUA